GGGAGCAUAGCUCAGUUGGGAGAGCACUUGCCUUACAAGCAAGGGGUCACUGGUUCGAGCCCAGUUGUUCCCACCA
Molecule: transfer RNA, 76 nt
Filed under: Bacillota bacterium
Lineage: Bacteria; Bacillati; Bacillota
Also listed under: 3 other names
Description: Firmicutes bacterium tRNA-Val
Rfam family: tRNA
About the family: Transfer RNA (tRNA) molecules are approximately 80 nucleotides in length. Their secondary structure includes four short double-helical elements and three loops (D, anti-codon, and T loops).
Source: RNAcentral